GAACACGCGCGCGCCAAGAGUGCCGCCGUCGGGAGCUUCCACUACUCGUAGUGUUGUACCUCUAGUAUACCUAGUAGAAUUCGUCGUCCGUUGGUUUGUUCGUCUACGCGGGGUUCGCGGUGCUGUCUCUUUCGUGUUUGCCGUGUUGUUCCCGAUCGGUGGCGGUGCUGCUGCUGCUGCAUUCUUCGUCUCUUGGGACGAUCUCUCGGGCGUCGUGUGUUCUGAUCUACUUCUACUUGUGAAAGUGAAAGUGUGAUUCCUUGUAAGAAAAUU
Culex quinquefasciatus (southern house mosquito) is the source of this 273-nucleotide long non-coding RNA. RefSeq lists it as uncharacterized. The transcript has 2 exons. The record is from RefSeq and is a predicted model, not a curated record. Lineage: Eukaryota; Metazoa; Arthropoda; Insecta; Diptera; Culicidae.